Long non-coding RNA from Eriocheir sinensis (Chinese mitten crab), 2421 nucleotides. RefSeq lists it as uncharacterized. Lineage: Eukaryota; Metazoa; Arthropoda; Malacostraca; Decapoda; Varunidae. The record is from RefSeq and is a predicted model, not a curated record. The transcript is spliced from 2 exons.
GAGAGAGAGAGAGAGAGAGAGAGAGAGAGAGAGAGAGAGAGAGAGAAGCAGAGAAAAAAAGCAGAGAGAGAGAGAGAGAGAGAGAGAGAAAGAGAGAUAAACACAUCCCCUUCACUUCCUAAUUACCUUGGCAUUUCAAUUUUAUGGGAAACUUAUUUAUGUUUAUCUUCUUAAUUAACUAUUGCCCAUUAAUAAAAGCAAUUUCCAUCCCUUCUUCCUUUCUUAAUUACAUCUUAAAGUAUUGAUUUUGUGGGACUUGCAUUAAUGACUUCCUUGUAGAUUGCUUAUUCCUCAUUAGCAAAAGCAAUUUCUAUGACCCUUCUUCUUUUCUUAAUUAUCUGAGUAUCAAUUUUGGAGGUGUCUAAUUACGACUUUCUUGUAUAUGGUUGAUUGCCCAUUAGUAAAAGCAAAUUCUAUGACCCUUCUUCAUUUAAUUGUAUCCUAAAGUAUAAUUAUAAGGGUCAUCUAUAAAACUUUCUUGUAACUUAACUGGUCAUUAGUAAAGCAAUUUCUAAAACCCUUCUUCCUUUCUAAAUUAAAUCCUAAAGAAUCCUAAUUAGGGUCAUCUUUAAUAGCAUUCUUGUAACUUAACCGGUUAUUAGUAAAGCAAUUUCCAAAACCCUUCUUCCUUUCUAAAUUAUAUCCUAAAGUAUAAUUAUCAGUGUCAUCAUUAGGACUUUCUUGUGACUGCUUAUGAUCAUUAUAAAAGCAAUUUCUAAAACCCUUCCUCAUUUAAUUAUAUCCUAAAGUAUAAUUAUUAGGGUCAUCUUUAGGACUUUCUUGUGACUGCUUGUGGUCAUUAGUAAAGCAAUUUCAACACCCCUUCUUCCUUUCUAAAUUAUAUCCUAAAGUAUAAUUAUUUGGGUCAUCAAUUUCUAAAACCCUUCUUCCUUUCUAAAUUAUAUCCUAAAGUAUAAUUAUUAGGGUCAUCAUUUGGACUUUCUUGUAAUUGUUUGUGAUCAUUAGUAAAGCAAUUUCUAAAAGUGUUCCUUUCUUUUUUUCUUUUUUGUAUUUCGUUGGGGAUAUAAUUAAAUACUAAAGAUUCAUAAUUAAGGUCAUCUUUAAUAGCUUUCUUGUAACUUUACCGGUCAUUAGCAAAACCCGAUCCCUUCAAUUAUCUAAAAAGAACUGAUUUUGGGGGUAACUUAUUUAUCAUUUUCUAUACACAUGGUCUAGUGGUCAGCGUGCCUACCUACCACACCGCAGGCCUAGGUUCGAAUCCCAGCCCGGUCAGUCGAAGAGCAGGUCACCCACACACCCAGCUGUUCAUCCUCCCUUUCCGACAGUCAUGUGGAACUAUAGUGAUUGUAUGUAUGUUUGUAGAGUGUAUAGUCUUGCAUGUGUGUUUGUGUAAUGUAUAGUGUCUGUAUGUAUGUCUGUGUAUGUAUAGUGUAUAGCAUAUGUCUGUAUGUAUAAUGUAUAAUGUCUGUCUGUCCAUCUGUAUGUAUGUGUGUAUGUCUGCAUGUAUGUCUGUGUAUGGGUCUAUCUAUGUAUGUCUGUAUGUUAUGUCUAUGUAUGUACUAGUGGUCAUUUCCAGGGGUAGUUUUAUGACCCUGGUGGUAGUCUGACCCUUCCUCUGUACCGAGAACCUUCAGUAACACUCAUUUGACACGGCUUUCGUAGGAGUUGCGGGCAUUUCCAGGGGUAGUUUUAUGACCCUGGUGGUAGAAUGACCCUUCCUCUGUACCGUGAACCUAAAGAAACACUCAUUUGAACCCAAUUAAUUUACUUUUUGGCCUUUGGAAAUAGUUGACGUGUGAGAUGGAUGCGUCUGAGUAUACUGAGCUAACGACCAUAUCCUUGAACACAUUUGACAGGCCUUUAUAGGAGUUUGAGGCAUGUCCAUGGAUAGUUUAAUGACCCUGGUGGUAGUUUGACCCUUCGUCUGUACCAUGAACCUAAGAAAACACCUAUUUGAACCCGAUUAACCUCUUUUAUGGGCUUUGGAAGUGAUUGAUGUGAGACCUAGCCUAGGCCCCGCGCCCCCACCUGUCAGGCUGCACGGGUGGGCGGGGCCAGGUGUGGGCGCGGUGCUGUAUGAAGGUUGUAAAUUACUCUCCGUGUUGACAGGGGCACUGAUAUAUUUGCAUACCUGGGUAAACACUAGUCUACCUGCCUAGAUUACCUGGGAAGGGAGGGAGACGCGGUACAGAUGAGGGGCGGAGGGGCAGCGGCCACCCGGCGCCGGCUAUGUGCAGGGUUGCAGUGUGCCGCCUGCUGCCGCUCACCUGCUGCUGCUGCUGCUGCUGCCUGGUGAGGGCCGCGGCCGCCGCCAGGGGGCCGCCUCUCUCUCUUUCUCUCUCUCUCUCACACACACACACACACACACACACACUACAUGGCUAUUUUGUAUAUUCAUUUUCACACAUGCACUGAUAGUUUUACUCUCUCUCUCUCUCUCUCUCUCUCUCUCUCUCUCUC